This is a long non-coding RNA of Malaya genurostris, 700 nucleotides long. RefSeq lists it as uncharacterized. Lineage: Eukaryota; Metazoa; Arthropoda; Insecta; Diptera; Culicidae. The transcript has 2 exons. The record is from RefSeq and is a predicted model, not a curated record.
UGUUUUACUCGUGUUUCAAAUAUACAAAAAAUAGAACGGCAUCGUAGACCAGUUUUAAAUUUGACAGAAGAACUGGUCGAAUAAAUAAAACUAGAACGGCUUGCUGGGGAUACGUUUGUUUAAGUUUCAUUUAUAUUAUAAACCACCCAUAUGAAUCUCGCAGCUGCUGAAUUUGCUCUUAUCACUCAACUCUUAGCACGAAAUGAUACCCGAAACUUUCGACUUUCAAACAGAAUACCCUCUCAGCAGGCUGUUCAAUUUUGUUGGUUUUUGAGCGCUUGUUGAACGACAUAUUGCACGAAAUAUUCGUUCAAUUUGCUGGAACGGUUUGUUGUUGUUUUUUCUCUUGCAAAAAUAGUGUGAAAACUAAGUGUUACCUUUACAUAGAAAGAAAAUUUAUUGUUAUUCUACGUGAAGUAGAAGUAUUGUGCAGGUAUUUAGUUAGGUAGUGAUAUCAAAGAAAAUCUUUUUAAUCCCACGCAUUCACACGAUCCAGCAGAGAUCCGGAACGUCAACGGCAAGCUCCGUCAACAUUUCUCCGAAAGAAUAUUUGACGGACUGUGAUUAUCGCACACAUGCACGAUUCUUAUGAUUACGGCAGAGAUGCCAGAUAUUUUCAUAGAAAAUCUGUAUUGAUUCGUACAAAAUAUCUGUAUUUAUCUGUAUUCGCUAAUAAAAUGAAAUUUCUACAAUACAAUUA